AGACCACUCCCCAGGGCUCCUGUACCCAUGUUGGUAGGGUCCAUUCAAAAAUGGUGAGUGGGUGAAGGGUGAGUUAUCCUGGCCAAACGGAGCAGGAAGGCCAGUGGUCAGAAUUGGUCACUUAGUCCUAGGCCCUCUGACUUGCUAGCAUGCACAGGUAUGUUCUGGGAGGAGAGCCAUCUCCUUGAUGGUCUCUUAACUCCCUGGGGCUGGGGGCUGGGCUGGUGCUGGCCCACUGAAGAGAACCCUGGAAGGUCCUUCUUGGCAGCCUGCAUUUCAUUGGCCAGUGAGGGAGGGAGCAUUCAUGCCAGGGAAUAAAGGAGGUUAUGUAGCCAUCAGUGCUUUGGAGCAAAUUACAGCCAAGUUUUGUAAAUUCUGUGGUGUUGAGGUAGCUAAACCAUUGAACAUAAAGAAUGGCAACACAGAGGCUCUUGAAAUGAUACACUUCAUGGCUGGGGGGUGGGUGAUGAGAAUUUGGACCUGAGGUUUGGGACCUGAGCAGGACUGUCCACAACCAGGGGACAACCCUUGGUCCAGAACUAGAAAUUAGGGACAGGAGGCCUUGGAGGCAUAAGAUUUUACUGAUGAGGAGAAACUCAUGCCUACCUUUCCCAGCAGGGAUCUUCCUACAAAUCCUCUGAGGGCAGGGGCACGGCAACUAGAUCCUGGUCAAGAAUGAUUGUGAAGGGCACUCUUGGUGGUGGCAGACCUGGGAGAGCAGAGGAUGGGAAGCUGACCUGGCCAGUGGGGAUGAGGAAAGAGGUUGGACAGUAGGUUGGUUCCCUCUUCACACUUCCAGCCUUGUCCAGAAGCAGAAGCCUGAUAUGUAGAGUCUGAAAAACUCCUAAGGGGCUCUUCUGUGAUGUUCAAGUCCAGCUGUGGGCAAAUCAGGAUGGCUUCCAUGUGCCAGGUCCUGGCUGCUGUGGCUCUCUCCUCUGCACAGAAGAAUUGGGCCUAGUGGAUUUCAUUUGCACAGAGGGCGACGGCUCCCAGACCUCCACCUCCAGACUAGACCCCUUUCCUGAGCUCCAGACCCAUGCUGGAGCUGCAGGGGAGGUCCCCAAGCUACUCAAUCUCAAAUCUCUGGAACUGAGCUCAGGACCAACUACUCUGCAGCCACUGGGCUAUUUCACAUCUCAGGGAAAGGCACCACCAUUCACUCUGCCCCUUGCUCCUUUCUUUCUCUUACCUCCACAUCCAGUAAAUUACCAACUCUGAAAUCACCUCCUAAAUGCCGUAUACACCAAAUAUAGGUAUUUCUCCCACAAAAAUCUUCAUAAAAUUUUUUUUACUCAAAAAAGAGUUUACUUACAUUUCAGUCUUUACAAAAUCCCUCAUAUAACGGGAUGCUCUCUCACCUUGUUUUGAACCAAAAAGCACUUUUUGGAAAAAAGACAUUACCCUGAAAUGACCUCAGUCAAGCUAGUUUUGGACGAUUAUAAGUAGUCCCCUGACAAAAUCAGUAAACGAAGCAAAGAAAUUUACCACAGACUUAGUAAUUAUUUCUCACAAUCCCAAGUAUUACAUAUAAACAAGCCUCUUAAAGGACACUUUAAUAGCAAGACAGCAUUGUUUUUUUUUAGGCUUGGUAAUGGUAUGAAGAUCUAUCUAUCUAUCUAUACACAUACACACUUAAAAUUUGUGUCAAAAUAAUAUGGAAGGGGUUAGUGAGUGGGUGGAGUUUGACAUGAAACAAGAGUGCCCAUCAAUUCAUAAUUGAAGCUGGCUGAUGGGUACAAGGAAGUUCACUGUACUCUCUUGUCUACACUUACAUACAUUUGAAAUUUUCCAUAAAAUUUUUAAUGCAAUACAGUAAGUAGUUAUUAUGCAGAUCAUUAAUAUAUACCUAUGGGAGAAAUGAAAAGAAAGCUGUUUUAAUGUCACAAAAGAUAAUUAUGCUUAGAUUAAAAUUUCUAGUAAUAGCAUCACAUACUGACUCGAAAAGUAUUUUCAACAACACGAAUGAGUCUCAAAAACAUACUGAACAUAGACCACGGUUACAUACUCCUUGAUUCCAUUUAUGUGAAAUUCUAGAAUAGGCAAAAACUACUCUGGAGUGAUGGAAAGUACGUUAGUGAUUGCUGGACGGGAGGGCAGGGGAGACUGACUACAAAAGGGGCACUGAGAAACCAGGGUGAUGGAAAUGUUCUGUACCUUGAUUGGGUAGAGGUUACAUGAGGGCAUACAUUCGUCAAAGCUCACCAUUUUUUUUUUUUAAUAUGUAAGUUAUUCCUCAGUCAAGCCGAUUUUUCAAAAGUACUCAAACAAUUUAGAAAGCAGUGAAGGUGAUGUGCCUUCAGAAAUUAUAUUAGAUGACUCAAAGUAGCUCACCUGGUGACAACUACAUAGAAAUCAAAUAUUCAUAGAGAGUUCGAACAUAAGUUUAUUACCGCAAAUGUGAGAGCGGGGAAAAAUAAAUAUUCAUAAAUUAAUAUACUGUUUUAAAUA
This is a long non-coding RNA of Ursus maritimus (polar bear), 2448 nucleotides long. The record is from Ensembl. Lineage: Eukaryota; Metazoa; Chordata; Mammalia; Carnivora; Ursidae.